UGAAGUUCAGGUAACACUGAAUGGAGGACCGAACCGACUUACGUUGAAAAGUGAGCGGAUGAACUGAGGGUAGCGGAGAAAUUCCAAUCGAACCUGGAGAUAGCUGGUUCUCUCCGAAAUAGCUUUAGGGCUAGCCUCAAGUGAUGAUUAUUGGAGGUAGAGCACUGUUUGGACGAGGGGCCCCUCUCGGGUUACCGAAUUCAGACAAACUCCGAAUGCCAAUUAAUUUAACUUGGGAGUCAGAACAUGGGUGAUAAGGUCCGUGUUCGAAAGGGAAACAGCCCAGACCACCAGCUAAGGUCCCAAAAUAUAUGUUAAGUGGAAAAGGAUGUGGCGUUGCCCAGACAACUAGGAUGUUGGCUUAGAAGCAGCCAUCAUUUAAAGAGUGCGUAAUAGCUCACUAGUCGAGUGACACUGCGCCGAAAAUGUACCGGGGCUAAACAUAUUACCGAAGCUGUGGAUUGUCCUUUGGACAAUGGUAGGAGAGCGUUCUAAGGGCGUUGAAGCAUGAUCGUAAGGACAUGUGGAGCGCUUAGAAGUGAGAAUGCCGGUGUGAGUAGCGAAAGACGGGUGAGAAUCCCGUCCACCGAUUGACUAAGGUUUCCAGAGGAAGGCUCGUCCGCUCUGGGUUAGUCGGGUCCUAAGCUGAGGCCGACAGGCGUAGGCGAUGGAUAACAGGUUGAUAUUCCUGUACCACCUAUAAUCGUUUUAAUCGAUGGGGGGACGCAGUAGGAUAGGCGAAGCGUGCGAUUGGAUUGCACGUCUAAGCAGUAAGGCUGAGUAUUAGGCAAAUCCGGUACUCGUUAAGGCUGAGCUGUGAUGGGGAGAAGACAUUGAGUCUUCGAGUCGUUGAUUUCACACUGCCGAGAAAAGCCUCUAGAUAGAAAAUAGGUGCCCGUACCGCAAACCGACACAGGUAGUCAAGAUGAGAAUUCUAAGGUGAGCGAGCGAACUCUCGUUAAGGAACUCGGCAAAAUGACCCCGUAACUUCGGGAGAAGGGGUGCUCUUUAGGGUUAACGCCCAGAAGAGCCGCAGUGAAUAGGCCCAAGCGACUGUUUAUCAAAAACACAGGUCUCUGCUAAACCGUAAGGUGAUGUAUAGGGGCUGACGCCUGCCCGGUGCUGGAAGGUUAAGAGGAGUGGUUAGCUUCUGCGAAGCUACGAAUCGAAGCCCCAGUAAACGGCGGCCGUAACUAUAACGGUCCUAAGGUAGCGAAAUUCCUUGUCGGGUAAGUUCCGACCCGCACGAAAGGCGUAACGAUUUGGGCACUGUCUCAACGAGAGACUCGGUGAAAUCAUAGUACCUGUGAAGAUGCAGGUUACCCGCGACAGGACGGAAAGACCCCGUGGAGCUUUACUGUAGCCUGAUAUUGAAAUUCGGCACAGCUUGUACAGGAUAGGUAGGAGCCUUUGAAACGUGAGCGCUAGCUUACGUGGAGGCGCUGGUGGGAUACUACCCUAGCUGUGUUGGCUUUCUAACCCGCACCACUUAUCGUGGUGGGAGACAGUGUCAGGCGGGCAGUUUGACUGGGGCGGUCGCCUCCUAAAAGGUAACGGAGGCGCUCAAAGGUUCCCUCAGAAUGGUUGGAAAUCAUUCAUAGAGUGUAAAGGCAUAAGGGAGCUUGACUGCGAGACCUACAAGUCGAGCAGGGUCGAAAGACGGACUUAGUGAUCCGGUGGUUCCGCAUGGAAGGGCCAUCGCUCAACGGAUAAAAGCUACCCCGGGGAUAACAGGCUUAUCUCCCCCAAGAGUUCACAUCGACGGGGAGGUUUGGCACCUCGAUGUCGGCUCAUCGCAUCCUGGGGCUGUAGUCGGUCCCAAGGGUUGGGCUGUUCGCCCAUUAAAGCGGUACGCGAGCUGGGUUCAGAACGUCGUGAGACAGUUCGGUCCCUAUCCGUCGUGGGCGUAGGAAAUUUGAGAGGAGCUGUCCUUAGUACGAGAGGACCGGGAUGGACAUACCUCUGGUGUACCAGUUGUCGUGCCAACGGCAUAGCUGGGUAGCUAUGUGUGGACGGGAUAAGUGCUGAAAGCAUCUAAGCAUGAAGCCCCCCUCAAGAUGAGAUUUCCCAACUUCGGUUAUAAGAUCCCUCAAAGAUGAUGAGGUUAAUAGGUUCGAGGUGGAAGCAUGGUGACAUGUGGAGCUGACGAAUACUAAUCGAUCGAAGACUUAAUCAA
RNAcentral lists this ribosomal RNA (2176 nucleotides) under Staphylococcus aureus W76994_072512. RNAcentral's name for it is "bacterial LSU rRNA". It matches the Rfam family "Bacterial large subunit ribosomal RNA", at positions 746 to 2925 of the family's 2925-position model. The record is from RNAcentral. Lineage: Bacteria; Bacillati; Bacillota; Bacilli; Caryophanales; Staphylococcaceae.